GAUCUGGUCGGGUGGUCCGCUUAACGGCGUGUUACUGCUUGGCCGGGUCUUGUCUCUUGGUGAACCUUUGUGCCGUUUGUUCGGUGCUUAGGGGAACCAGGACUUUUACCUUGAGAAAAUUAGAGUGUUCAAAGCAGGCUUAUGCCUGAAUACAUUAGCAUGGAAUAAUAGAAUAGGACU
Molecule: ribosomal RNA, 180 nt
Filed under: uncultured Glomeromycotina
Lineage: Eukaryota; Fungi; Glomeromycota
Description: partial small subunit ribosomal RNA
Rfam family: Eukaryotic small subunit ribosomal RNA (bases 48-180)
Source: RNAcentral